GGGGAAUAUUGGACAAUGGGGGAAACCCUGAUCCAGCCAUGCCGCGUGAGUGAUGAAGGCCUUAGGGUUGUAAAGCUCUUUGAGUGGGGAAGAUAAUGACGGUACCCACAGAACAAGCCCCGGCUAACUUCGUGCCAGCAGCCGCGGUAAUACGGGGGGGGCUAGCGUUGUUCGGAAUUACUGGGCGUAAAGCGCGCGUAGGCGGUCAUGCAAGUCAGGGGUGAAAUCCCAGAGCUUAACUCUGGAACUGCCUUUGAAACUGCAUGGCUAGAAUGUGAGAGGGGAUAGCGGAAUUCCUAAUGUAGAGGUGAAAUUCGUAGAUAUUAGGAGGAACACCGGUGGCGAAGGCGGCUAUCUGGCUCACUAUUGACGCUCUGGCGCGAAAGCGUGGGGAUCAAAC
This 400-nucleotide ribosomal RNA is filed under the name uncultured bacterium. RNAcentral's name for it is "bacterial SSU rRNA". It matches the Rfam family "Bacterial small subunit ribosomal RNA", at positions 356 to 773 of the family's 1533-position model. The record is from RNAcentral.